GGAUUGCUAGAAGAACAAAGGGAGCAUUUAGAGAUGGUCUCUGCCCUCCUGGAAUUUACACGAUGAAUGGAAGAAGAUGCAGAAUUGCGCAUGCUGUGCAUGUCCAACACAAACAGAUGACAUUCCUUUGUAGUUAGAGAAGCCUGGCCACAGGGAACUGUGUUUGUUUUGGUUUUUCCCCUUCGUGGUUUACCAGAACCAAUCUGAGUUGGAAAAUGCUAUUUGCUUUAAAGAAAUUAGUUACUCUUUUGCAACAUUAAAUUGUGUCAGCCAAGCAAAUGAAGCCCUAUUUAUAAAAUUGCUUGCUUCUGGUUUCACUUUAUUGCAUCGUGGGCUCCGAGAGGGAGAAAAAUGAAGUUUUUGCUGCUUAGCACAUUUAUAUUUUUGUAUAGUUCCUUAGCCUUGGCAAGAGAUAAGCAUUAUUUCAUUGGAAUUACUGAAGCAGUCUGGGACUAUGCUUCUGGCACUGAAGAAAAGAAACUUAUUUCAGUUGACACGGAACAGUCCAAUUUCUAUCUUCAAAAUGGUCCAGAUCGUAUUGGAAGAAAAUAUAAGAAGGCCCUUUAUUUUGAGUACACAGAUGGCACCUUUAGUAAGACUAUAGACAAACCAGCCUGGCUAGGGUUUUUAGGCCCUGUCAUCAAAGCUGAAGUUGAAGAUAAAGUUUAUGUUCACUUAAAGAACCUUGCCUCUAGGAUCUACACUUUUCAUGCACAUGGGGUAACGUACACCAAGGAGUAUGAGGGAGCCGUCUACCCUGACAACACCACUGAUUUUCAACGGGCUGAUGACAAAGUGCUUCCCGGACAACAGUAUGUGUAUGUGCUGCAUGCCAAUGAGCCAAGUCCUGGAGAGGGAGACAGCAAUUGUGUGACCAGGAUUUACCACUCCCAUGUUGAUGCUCCAAAAGAUAUUGCAUCAGGACUCAUAGGACCUCUAAUACUCUGUAAAAAAGGUUCUCUAUAUAAGGAAAAAGAGAAAAAUAUUGACCAAGAAUUUGUACUAAUGUUCUCUGUGGUGGAUGAAAAUCUCAGCUGGUAUCUGGAAGAUAACAUCAAAACCUUCUGCUCUGAACCCGAGAAAGUUGAUAAAGACAAUGAAGACUUCCAGGAAAGCAACAGGAUGUACUCUAUAAAUGGAUAUACAUUUGGAAGCCUCCCAGGGCUCUCGAUGUGUGCAGCAGACAGAGUGAAGUGGUACCUUUUUGGUAUGGGUAAUGAAGUUGAUGUGCAUUCAGCUUUCUUUCAUGGCCAAGCCCUGACCAGCAGGAACUAUCAAACCGAUAUAAUCAACCUGUUCCCUGCCACCCUAAUUGAUGCUUAUAUGGUGGCCCAGAAUCCUGGAGUCUGGAUGCUCAGUUGCCAGAACCUAAACCAUCUGAAAGCUGGGUUGCAGGCCUUUUUCCAGGUUCGUGACUGUAACAAGCCCUCGCCAGAGGAUAAUAUCCAAGAUAGGCAUGUGAGACACUAUUACAUUGCUGCUGAGGAGGUCAUCUGGAAUUAUGCUCCUUCUGGGACGGACAUCUUCACUGGAGAGAAUUUAACAGCUCUGGAAAGUGAUUCAAGGGUAUUUUUUGAGCAAGGUGCCACAAGAAUUGGUGGCUCUUAUAAAAAAAUGGCAUAUCGUGAGUACACAGAUGGUUCCUUCACAAACCGAAAACAAAGAGGCCCUGAUGAGGAACAUCUUGGAAUCCUAGGUCCUGUCAUUUGGGCAGAAGUAGGAGACACCAUUAAAGUCACCUUUCAUAACAAAGGACAGCAUCCUCUCAGCAUUCAGCCAAUGGGAGUAAGUUUCACUGCAGAAAAUGAGGGAACAUACUAUGGCCCACCAGGUCGCUCCUCACAGCAAGCAGCCUCCCAUGUGGCUCCCAAAGAAACCUUUACAUACGAAUGGACUGUCCCCAAAGAAAUGGGACCCACUUAUGCAGAUCCUGUGUGCCUAUCUAAGAUGUACUACUCUGGCGUUGACCCCACCAAAGAUAUAUUUACUGGGCUUAUUGGGCCAAUGAAAAUAUGCAAGAAAGGCAGCUUACUUGCUGAUGGGAGACAGAAAGAUGUAGACAAAGAGUUCUACUUGUUUCCCACAGUGUUUGAUGAGAAUGAGAGUUUACUCUUAGAUGAUAAUAUCAGGAUGUUCACAACUGCACCUGAUCAAGUGGAUAAGGAAGAUGAAGACUUUCAGGAGUCUAAUAAGAUGCACUCCAUGAAUGGGUUCAUGUAUGGCAAUCAGCCUGGCCUCAAUAUGUGUCUAGGAGAAUCCAUCGUGUGGUAUUUGUUCAGCGCUGGAAAUGAGGCUGAUGUGCAUGGGAUAUACUUUUCAGGAAAUACUUAUCUGUCUAAAGGAGAAAGAAGAGACACUGCAAACCUAUUCCCUCAUAAAAGUCUCACCCUUCUCAUGAACCCUGACACAAAAGGGACUUUUGAUGUUGAGUGCCUUACAACGGAUCACUACACAGGUGGCAUGAAGCAAAAAUACACUGUGAACCAGUGCCAGCGGCAGUUUGAAGAUUUCACUGUCUACCUUGGAGAAAGGACCUACUAUGUGGCAGCCGUAGAGGUGGAAUGGGAUUACUCACCAAGCAGGGCCUGGGAAAAGGAGCUGCAUCAUUUGCAAGAGCAAAAUGUUUCAAAUGUAUUUUUGGAUAAAGAAGAGUUUUUCAUAGGCUCAAAGUACAAGAAGGUUGUGUAUCGCCAGUUUACUGACAGCUCAUUCAGAGAACAGGUGAAGAGACGAGCCGAAGACGAGCACUUGGGCAUCCUUGGGCCACCAAUUCAUGCAAAUGUUGGAGACAAAGUUAAAGUUGUCUUUAAAAAUAUGGCAACCAGGCCAUAUUCAAUACAUGCCCAUGGGGUGAAAACAGAGAGUUCUACAGUUGUUCCAACGUUACCAGGUGAAGUUCGAACUUAUACAUGGCAAAUUCCAGAAAGAUCAGGGGCUGGAAGAGAGGAUUCAGCUUGUAUCCCAUGGGCUUAUUACUCAACUGUGGAUCGAGUUAAGGAUCUCUAUAGUGGGCUAAUAGGCCCAUUGAUUGUUUGUCGGAAGUCUUAUGUGAAAGUAUUCAGUCCUAAAAAGAAAAUGGAGUUUUUCCUUCUGUUUCUAGUAUUUGAUGAGAAUGAAUCUUGGUACUUAGAUGAUAACAUCAAAACAUACUCUGAACACCCUGAGAAAGUAAACAAAGACAACGAGGAAUUCCUAGAAAGCAAUAAAAUGCAUGCUAUUAAUGGGAAAAUGUUUGGAAACCUACAAGGCCUCACAAUGCACGUGAAAGAUGAAGUCAACUGGUAUGUGAUGGGAAUGGGCAAUGAAAUAGACCUGCACACUGUACACUUCCACGGCCACAGCUUCCAAUACAAGUAUCAUCUCAGAGUUACAGGAUGACCUGGAACAUCCUCUAUACACUACUAAUCAGCAUCAUUAUUUUAUUCCAAAUGUCUACCAAGGAGUAGCCAGGAAAAUAAGCAAAAAUUCCCAGAAAAGGGUGAAGGGAAUAUGCAGAAACUGAGGCAUUAUGAGAAGUCUACAAAGCAGAGGCACGGAUGAGAGGGAAGAUCAAUGGCAUAGAACAGAUUUUCAACAUAAUUAUAGAAAACUCCCAGAAUAAGGAAAACCACAACCAUAUAGACACACAGAACACCAACUAGAAGAAGAAAAGAAGUUCCCCAUGGAACAUAAGUUAAAACACUAAAUAUACACAACACAGAGGAUACUGAAAGCAGCAAGAGAAAGGACACAAGUCCCAUGCAAAGGCAAACACACCAGGAAACUGCUGAUGGAGGCUGAACACCAGCAGAGUCUGGUGCAAUGCACCCCAAAGGACCACAGACGCCAAAUCAGACUUCUUUACCCAGCAACGCUCUCUGCCAUAGUUGAAGAAAGAAAGUUUUCAUGAUAGAAACAGGUUAAAGGAAUGUAUCCACCAAGCCAGCCCCGCUGAGAAUACUAGAACCUGAAGAUACUUUAGACUGAAGAGAGGAUAAGCAAGCCCAAAAGGCCACAUAAAGAAAACAAGUGAAGCCAUCUAACAAGAACACGGAAUAAGACAAAGAACACAGCAGAAUUCCCCCACAAACACACACAACAAAAUUACAGCAAUCAACAAACCCUUUUCAAUACUAACUUUAAGUAUUGGCUUCAACUUCCCAAUCAAAAGAAAAUGUUGAAUGGAAUGAUUAAGUAACAAAAAUCCAUCUUUUGUUACAUACAGAGAUUUUAAAUGAUCACUGAAUUAUACCGUUUGAUUGUGAUUAUAAAUGUGCUUAGAAGUUAUAUCAGUAAAAUUUUCAUAGCCUAUUACACGUACAACUUUAUUUGCUUCACUGUUCUGUGUGUUGGGAGGACAAGGUCCGAUUCUGUCUCCCACAUUUACUGUACUUCUCAGACUGAGCUAUCAAAUGAACAAACAAGCCGCUAACACCUCAGGGCUUGCAGUGUCUAUAUGUACUAGAGAUAAGAGACAAUGAAAGAAUCUCCUUUAGUGAUAUAUUGUUGUAGUUAACUAAUAAAUUACUGAGGCUGGACUUGAAUUCAUGAUUCUUCUGUCUCAGCCUUCCAAGUGCUAGAAUUAUAAGCAUGUACAACCAUACCCGAUUCUGGUGAUUUUAAUAGAAGAAUAUAGGCCACAGUCUGGAAACUGAGUCUAAACACUCUAGCCUCCUGAUUUUCCUUCCCCAACCCACCCCCAACUCAACAGCUGUCUCUAUGUUCUAUAAAGUCCACAUUUUGACCAAUUUCUAAAGUUUAAACCAGGAAUUAUACACCCCAAUCGUAAAAAGCUCAUGGAGAAGAAAAUGCCUAAGGGCCUCUGGGUAUGGUAUAAGACUCGAGAACCUCAGCGUCUGGAUGAGAAGCUGUGGAGAUAAGAGUGGUGCAGACUGAACACGCUGUGCACUGCUCAGACAGAGCCAUCAGCAUCUGGCAGACCAGGCCUCAGGAACAGUACAGGGCACAGGUGGCCAGUACUCCUGAAUUUUUCAAGAGUAACGUUUAACUCAGAAUUCCUAACAUGAAAUAUUGAUUUCUAUAUGUGGCUUGCUACAGUGAGUAAACAGAAGAAAAGAAAAGAAAAGAAAAGAAAAGAAAAGAAAAGAAAAGAAAAGAAAAGAAAAGAAAAGAAAAGAAAAGAAAAGGAAAGAAAAGAAAAGGAAAGAAAAAGAAAGGUGAAAAUUAUAUUCAGCCCUUGGGCCAACAAAUGGUAUUAAAAGAUACAUUCAGCCCGGCCUGGCCUACCAUGUCCCAUGCAGAAACAGUUAGAAUUCCUAUACCAUAAUUGUGUCCCUCAAUUCUUUUGAAACCUUCUCUUCUGGGGUCAGAUACGACUACUUUGACAUAUUAUUCAUAAGGCAGAUGGUAUUGGUUCAGUGGGUAUGAAGUCUACAUUGUGCUAAGCCACAUUAAACAAAGCUCAUACUUACAAAAGAUCCCUAUACAUUUGGACACUUUUUCCCCACAGGUGUUUUCACGUCUAUUCUAAACAGGAAGGCAGUUGUACAGCUCAUUCGCCUGCAGCAAGACCAGUCCCUCAGCUCAGAGGCUUCGUCUCAGCAGUUCCACCCAGAAGCCAGCAUUCCAAAGCAAAGCUCCUAACUGUGAUCAAUUAUAGAUUUUUGCCCCUCAAAAAGCUAUACUCUAAAUUAACAAGACAUGUGCUAUCACAACACAUUUAAAUUGUUUACUAUACUUCAAUAUACUGCAUAUUUUAAAAGUAAGAGAGGCAUUUUUAUUUACCUGUAAUUUCAGAAGGUCGUCUGUGUAAUUUUUAUCAGCUAAGGAAUCAGAUGUCGUUAACACAUGAACCCAUGGAUUUACUAGGCCAUAAUGACUGCAGGCAUUUAUCUGAAACAUUACAGAAAUGCAUCACAAGCCAAAUACAGCAAGAGCAAAACAAGUCAUCUCUUCAUCCAUUCACUAACUCUCUGCCACAUCGUAGAUUCAGUUGCACACUCUCCUAGGAGAAGGAAGCUUUGCAGACGUAUUUCCCUGGAAAAGUGUGUAGUCUUGCUGCUUUCGUAUCAAAUAAUCUGCAAUAAAUAUUUCCUAAUAUUUUGAAAUUUAAAAAUAUUCUACAGAAGUGCUUUCAAGCAAAAUAUAUAAGUGAAUAGAAUAGAAUAGAAUAGAAUAGAAUAGAAUAGAAUAGAAUAGAAUAGAACAGAACAGAAUAGAAUAGUAUUACUCCUAAGAUAAGAGUGGAAAUGAUUUUUGGGGGUGAGAAAAUAUCCUUUUAAGUUCUCAUGAUGACUGUCAUGGAGUAUCCUUAAUCCAAGAAAUUACACUGGUGACCUUUGCACUCAUGGUGCAGUGCCCACAGCAGUCAUAGCAACAGGAGUCUAUGGAAACCAGAGCAGUAUGGGAGGGUGACCAAGGCUGUCGCAGUUGCCUACAACACACCUGAAGCCUAAGCGUGGCCCUGACAGGAAAGAGAACAGUGCAGUAGGCCCUUGCCUCAGCCCUUUCAAAACUGCUUGAGGCAACCCUUCUGAAGAAAGCCUCUCAUAUGCUGGGACACUGCAAGGUGGUAAUAAAGGAGUAUGGCUGUA
This is an RNA transcript of Mus musculus (house mouse), 6533 nucleotides long. It is a transcript of the gene named ceruloplasmin, with no coding region annotated. Lineage: Eukaryota; Metazoa; Chordata; Mammalia; Rodentia; Muridae. The record is from RefSeq and is marked reviewed. The transcript has 19 exons.